RNAcentral lists this ribosomal RNA (454 nucleotides) under uncultured bacterium. RNAcentral describes it as "bacterial SSU rRNA". It matches the Rfam family "Bacterial small subunit ribosomal RNA", at positions 32 to 480 of the family's 1533-position model. The record is from RNAcentral.
AACGCUAUCGGCAGGCUUAAUACAUGCAAGUCGUGGGGCAGCGCAGUGUAGCAAUACAUGGGCGGCGACCGGCAAACGGGUGCGGAACACGUACGCAACCUUCCUUUAAGUGGGGGAUAGCCCAGGGAAACUUGGAUUAAUACCCCUUAUCAUUAUGAGAUGGCAUCAUCUUAUAAUUAAAGCUCCGGCGCUUAGAGAUGGGCGUGCGUCUGAUUAGGUAGUUGGCGGGGUAACGGCCCACCAAGCCUACGAUCAGUAACUGGUGUGAGAGCACGACCAGUCACACGGGCACUGAGACACGGGCCCGACUCCUACGGGAGGCAGCAGUAAGGAAUAUUGGUCAAUGGACGCAAGUCUGAACCAGCCAUGCCGCGUGAAGGAUGAAGGUCCUCUGGAUUGUAAACUUCUUUUACCUGGGAAGAAACCACAAUUUCUAUUGUGGUUGACGGUACCA